Molecule: ribosomal RNA, 253 nt
Filed under: uncultured bacterium
Lineage: Bacteria
Description: partial 16S ribosomal RNA
Rfam family: Bacterial small subunit ribosomal RNA
Source: RNAcentral
UACGUAGGGUGCGAGCGUUAAUCGGAAUUACUGGGCGUAAAUCGUGCGCAGGCGGUUUGCUAAGACCGAUGUGAAAUCCCCGGGCUUAACCUGGGAACUGCAUUGGUGACUGGCAGGCUAGAGUAUGGCAGAGGGGGGUAGAAUUCCACGUGUAGCAGUGAAAUGCGUAGAGAUGUGGAGGAAUACCGAUGGCGAAGGCAGCCCCCUGGGCCAAUACUGACGCUCAUGCACGAAAGCGUGGGGAGCAAACAGG